GCUGGCCCUUUAAAUCUGGGAGAAACAAACUGCUGCAGCUCUAGGGGGAACGUUUUGCACCUAACAGUUACAAUCUGCACCUCCUGCCCAUCUGGACCACUUCCAGCACAUGGCCAGGCCGGGCCCCGUUGUCCUGGACGCUGCACAGACACGUAGCAAAUGGCAGCCACCGUCUCAGUCAAGGGUAAGUGCUUUGAGAUCCUCAGCUGGAAGGUGCUAUCUAACCCCAGGCCUGUUAUGACUGAAGCCUCCAUGUCUGGGCUAUAGACAGUUCCUACCACUGGGUGGCUUCAAGCUAGUUCAUCUUCCAGUGGAGCUUUUGGGUGGAAGAACAGAGCCCUCCAGCGUUCACUCUCCCUGGGACCCUCAGGCCGGAAGUUCUGGAGAAGGUGCUUUACCUGUGAUAGAACGCAGCUGCAGUGAGAACCAUGGAGAACUCAUUGGUCCACUUGGAGGUGUAGCCCCACUGGCUCUGGUUGGAAUCCCAGAAGUGACUCCGCAUGGGGAACCCAACGAUGCGGUCAGGGAAACUCCUCCACACUACAAAGGCAAAGUCAACCUGGGGAGCCAGACGGAGAGAGGUCACCACCAGGGCAGGGCCGAUUAGCAGCAGAUCCGGAGACAAACGCCUCCAUCGUUUGGAGGAGAACACUGCGGAGAGCAGAACUACCCUGGCUAGGACAGAGCCCAUCUGCAUUUGACCCACUCGAUCUUUACCACCAUCGCUACUCUCUGCGAAGAACGGGCACGUCUUCAAAACAUCCUCAGUACCUCUCCGAGCCUCGACACCUUGUGCCAUGCAACCUGCACCUCCCUACUCCCUUUAAGGACAUGGAUCCUCUCCCCCAAGCCACACCCCAACCAGCUAAGAACAGAAACGCAAUGCCUCAAUCCUCGCCUGCAAGCCAGGCUGCCUGCUGCCAUGUGAUCCUGCCGGAACACACACGUGGCAAGACCUCGAGGAUUCAUAUACGUCACUCCUAGAACAGAGGUGGUCACAAAUAGCAUGCAGGCGUCCUCUCCAUCACAAAUCUGAGCACAAAUACCAAAGUGCUGUUGCCAGGGAGCACCUCCGCCUCCAGAAUUGACUCCAGUUGGAGAGACUAAGGCAGGGAGCACCCUCCCCGCUGCUUGCUACAGCUCCCCCAGAAAGAAACAUCAUCACAAAACACAACACAGUGGUUUCUUCCAAGACUAAACACUUGUCUGCCAAAAAAAAAGAAACUUGUAAGACUACGUGUAACAGCACCAUGGUUGAUCACUGCCAUAGUAAUAUGAAGGGGCAUUAAUGAGAUGGUUAUAUUUAUUUAGGAUGAAAAUGUUUGGCACCAUGCUGGUCUUUUGGACACUGUUGAAUAGGGAGCAGUUGAUAAUGUGCCAUCUAUCAGCCGGGUGUCAUGUAGCGGAGAUGCUUUGGGGCCACAAAGAUCUCUUUUAGAGGCGUGCCAGCCAGCAUCACAUGCAGCUGGUUCACUGGCUGGAGCCGAUGACCUCAGUGUGGUGACAGCACAAAUGCUGUAAAUAAAUACUCAGAAACCAAAGCCAAGAAAGGCAUUACAUUAUUAUGAUUGUAUUACCAUAGCUCCUGGGUGCCCCAGUGAUGAGCCAGAACCCCAGUGCGCUAGGCGCUGGACAAACAGACGGUCCCUGCCUCAAAGCUCACAACCUAAAUCCCAUUCUUACCCCCAGAGGGGGCUGCCUCGGAAAGCUUAAUAUGCCUUAGUGUUUGUCAAACCCUCAGGAUUCCCCCCUCCAUGCACCCACGCGCAAAGCCACUAUCAUCGUCCCCAGUUGACAAAGGGGGAAGCUGAGACAGAGGUAGAACUAAGUGACUUGCCCAAGGCUAAAGAGAGGUGUCAGUGUCUGAGCUGGGAUGAGAACCCAGGUGUUCCUGGGUCUCAGUGUGUUUAGAUCCUCCGGCAAGGCGGCCUGUGAUCAUCCAGGCAUAUGACCACAGCAUGUUGGAGAGGAGAUGGUUGUGUGGAAAAAGCAUUGGUGUGAAACUCAGAGGAGCUUGAUUUAGUGGCUGGCUCCUCCAUUGGCUCGCAGGUGACUGCAGGCAAGUCUGUGCCUCUGUUUUCCAUCUGUGAAAUGGGGCUAAUGAGACUUCCCUACCAACCAGGGGUGUUGUGAGGUUAAAUGCAUCAGUGCUUGUGAAGUGCUCAGACACCCUGGUGUCGGGGGCUGUGAUAAAUGAAGAGGGCUCCCUUUUAUGAACACCCAGCCAGCCAGUUAGCUAUAAAAUCCCUGUUAGUAGCUGUUCUCUAUUUGCUUUACCUGUAAAGGAUUUAAAAAAGUCCAUAGGUAAAAGAAAGGGAGUGGGCACCUGACCAAAAGAGCCAAUGAGAAGGCUAGAACUUUUUAAAAUUGGGGAAAAACUUCCCCUUUGUGUCUGUUGUUGUGUCUGGGAAGAGGGGAACUGUGAGAAGCUUGGGCCAGGUAUGAAAUCAUCAGAAUCAUACCUAGAAACUGCUUAUUUGAAAACUCAGCUAUGUAGGUCGAUCAGGAAAUGUCUAGGAAGACGCAAUCAGGUUUAUUUCUUAUGGCUAGUGGACUCCUCUGUGCUAACCCCAGAUGCUUUUGUUUGCUUGUAACCUUCAAGCUGAACCCCCAAGAAAGCUAGUUUCAGUGCUUAAUUUUUGGAAAUUGCUCCUUUAAAAUCUAGCAAUAGCCUGAGUUUUCAAAUGUAUUUCUUUCUUUUUGUUU
Molecule: non-coding RNA, 2706 nt
Organism: Caretta caretta (loggerhead turtle)
Lineage: Eukaryota; Metazoa; Chordata; Testudines; Cheloniidae
Source: RefSeq, a predicted model, not a curated record